AUGCUUCUGCGCUGCCGGGUAAAAGUCAGCGCAACCACUGCACGCCUCCCACGGAACCCACACUUCUCCACCGCUUCCCUCGUAACGCAGCACCUUGCCUACGUCCUCCCUGCGCGCUUGCUGAUUGGCCACGACGCCCAUCCCUCAAGGCGAGGAGAGAGAGGCGGCUCCCGGAGAAGAGACUCCACACAACCAGCUCGUGUGCCCUUUCCCUGCCCCCGCCGCGGAUUCUCUCACGGCCCUGCCCGCCCCAGAAGCUCCUCCCCCUUUUGCGUCACUCACCUCCCCCGCCCGUCGGGCACCGCCCACUUUGCCUACGAAUUCGAGGUUGGCAGGGGAGGGGAGGUUUUUUUUUUUGAGGGGGAGGGGUGGGGGUUGAAGAGAGAACAACAAAAAAAAAAGCCCUCCUCAUGGCCGGCUGGCUCGUGGGCGCGUCUCCGCCCACUUCGGCGUAGCCCCGCCCCUCCUAGGCCGCCGGCCGGCGCAGCUAACUGCGGCCGUUGCCUGCGAGGCGGGGCGACGGGAGCGAGGCGGGAGGCCGCCUCCGCUUGCCUCCGCCGCCGCCACAGGGGAGACUUCCGCCGCUGGUCCCUCACCUCCCGGCAGUCUUUCGCCCUCACUCUCUCUCUCCCAUCUUUCCCUCAGGAGAGGCGACGGCUCCGUGGCGCCUGUUGUCGACCCCGCGAAAGCGCCGUCCGCCCUCUUUUAUUUCCCUGCGCCGGCCAGGAGCCGCGGAGACUCCUCCCCUUCCCUCUUUUCUCUCUCUCUCUCUGCCUUUCUCGCCUCCCUUCGCCCGCUCGCCGCCUCAGCAGCAGCGCCAGCAGCAGCGCCACCUUCCUUCCUUCCUCCUCCUUCUCUUCCCUCCCGGUUCCUGCUGCCCCCGCGAGGCACCUGCGCCCCUCCCCCUCCUCCUCAGCCGCCGCCACAGCGAGAGAGGAGGACAAGGCCGGAGUCGGCCGCGACCUCUCCCCGCGCGCGAGACCUCCCUCCUUCCCUCAAGGCCUGCUCCUAUGCCUCUGCUUGGAAGAUUGGUUAAUUAAGCUACUGUGCUGGCCAGUAAGAGCGAAUGACAAACACUAUAGGGUACUUAAGGUGAAUAUUUUAUUUCUCCCUCAAAAGUUUAUACGCUUUAAAUGCAGCAUGCGUUCAGCUGAAGGCCUGUCCAAUUAAAAAUUUCUACCUGUAAUUUUUGCAUGUCAUAUACCUCAGUGCAUAAAAACAUUUGUGUGAAAUGUCAAGCUGGCUUAAAGACUACUUCUUUGUCUUUUGAAAAAGCUUCAGUCCUCAGUAAUUUACUUUCUGUAUGUGGGAUCUCAAGAAAUACCAGAAAUCAAAAUAAUACAUUCUUAUCAAACAAUUAUACAGAUAAAUAUCAAUUAUGGAUUUUCCUUUUGCUUAGUGCUAGGGCCUCUUUGUGCAUAUCAUUUUUUUGCUCUUACAAGUUAUGGAGCUACCUUGCAUAUUUUCUGAAACUGAUGCUUUAAAAAAUUGAAGGUAUUCUGGUGAAAGUGUAGCAUGAAGUAAUCUUGAAAAGUAAUGGUUGAGUCAACUUC
Podarcis muralis (Common wall lizard) is the source of this 1553-nucleotide long non-coding RNA. The record is from Ensembl. NCBI's taxonomy places the organism in Eukaryota, Metazoa, Chordata, Lepidosauria, Squamata, Lacertidae.